This 507-nucleotide ribosomal RNA is filed under the name uncultured microorganism. RNAcentral's name for it is "bacterial SSU rRNA". It matches the Rfam family "Bacterial small subunit ribosomal RNA", at positions 9 to 514 of the family's 1533-position model. The record is from RNAcentral.
GAGUUUGAUCAUGGCUCAGGAUGAACACUGGCGGCGUGCUUAACACAUGCAAGUCGAACGAAGCGCCUUAUUCGAUUUUCUUCGGAACUGAAGAUUUGGUGACUGAGUGGCGGACGGGUGAGUAACGCGUGGGUAACCUGCCCUGUACAGGGGGAUAACAAUCAGAAAUGACUGCUAAUACCGCAUAAGACCACAGCACCGCAUGGUGCAGGGGUAAAAACUCCGGUGGUACAGGAUGGACCCGCGUCUGAUUAGCUGGUUGGUGAGGUAACGGCUCACCAAGGCGACGAUCAGUAGCCGGCUUGAGAGAGUGAACGGCCACAUUGGGACUGAGACACGGCCCAAACUCCUACGGGAGGCAGCAGUGGGGAAUAUUGCACAAUGGGGGAAACCCUGAUGCAGCAACGCCGCGUGAGUGAAGAAGUAUUUCGGUAUGUAAAGCUCUAUCAGCAGGGAAGAAAGUGACGGUACCCGACUAAGAAGCCCCGGCUAACUACGUGCCAGCCG